UACGUAGGCAGCAAGCGUUGUUCGGAAUUACUGGGCGUAAAGAGUGUGUAGGCGGUGCUCUAAGUUCGGUGUGAAAUCUCCCGGCUUAACUGGGAGGGUGCGCCGGAAACUGGAGUGCUUGAGCGCGGGAGGGGAAAGCGGAAUUCCUGGUGUAGCGGUGAAAUGCGUAGAUAUCAGGAGGAACACCUGUGGUGUAGACGGCUUUCUGGACCGUAGCUGACGCUGAGACACGAAAGCGUGGGUAGCAAACAGG
This 253-nucleotide ribosomal RNA is filed under the name uncultured bacterium. RNAcentral's name for it is "partial 16S ribosomal RNA". It matches the Rfam family "Bacterial small subunit ribosomal RNA", at positions 524 to 776 of the family's 1533-position model. The record is from RNAcentral.